This 465-nucleotide ribosomal RNA is filed under the name uncultured bacterium. RNAcentral's name for it is "partial 16S ribosomal RNA". It matches the Rfam family "Bacterial small subunit ribosomal RNA", at positions 28 to 507 of the family's 1533-position model. The record is from RNAcentral.
GACGAACGCUGGCGGCGUGCUUAACACAUGCAAGUCGAACGGAAAGGCCCUGCUUGCAGGGUACUCGAGUGGCGAACGGGUGAGUAACACGUGGGUGAUCUGCCCUGCACUUCGGGAUAAGCCUGGGAAACUGGGUCUAAUACCGGAUAAGAGCCAUUUUUAGUGUGAUGGUUGGAAAGUUUUUUCGGUGUAGGAUGAGCUCGCGGCCUAUCAGCUUGUUGGUGGGGUAAUGGCCUGCCAAGGCGGCGACGGGUAGCCGGCCUGAGAGGGUGGACGGCCACAUUGGGACUGAGAUACGGCCCAGACUCCUACGGGAGGCAGCAGUGGGGAAUAUUGCACAAUGGGCGCAAGCCUGAUGCAGCGACGCCGCGUGGGGGAUGACGGCCUUCGGGUUGUAAACUCCGUUCGCUAGGGACGAAGCUUUUUGUGACGGUACCUAGAUAAGAAGCACCGGCUAACUACGUG